RNAcentral lists this ribosomal RNA (540 nucleotides) under uncultured Bacillus sp. RNAcentral's name for it is "bacterial SSU rRNA". It matches the Rfam family "Bacterial small subunit ribosomal RNA", at positions 1 to 524 of the family's 1533-position model. Lineage: Bacteria; Bacillati; Bacillota; Bacilli; Caryophanales; Bacillaceae. The record is from RNAcentral.
UAGAGUUUGAUCCUGGCUCAGGACGAACGCUGGCGGCGUGCCUAAUACAUGCAAGUCGAGCGGAGCAACGGUUUCCUUCGGGAAACCAUUAGCUUAGCGGCGGACGGGUGAGUAAUACGUAGGUAACCUGCCCUUAAGACCGGGAUAACUCACGGAAACGUGGGCUAAUACCGGAUAGUCGAUUUCCUCGCAUGAGGGAAUCGGGAAAGGCGGAGCAAUCUGCCACUUAUGGAUGGACCUACGGCGCAUUAGCUAGUUGGUGGGGUAACGGCUCACCAAGGCGACGAUGCGUAGCCGACCUGAGAGGGUGAUCGGCCACACUGGGACUGAGACACGGCCCAGACUCCUACGGGAGGCAGCAGUAGGGAAUCUUCCGCAAUGGACGCAAGUCUGACGGAGCAACGCCGCGUGAGUGAAGAAGGUUUUCGGAUCGUAAAACUCUGUUGUUAGGGAAGAACCCGUACCGUUCAAAUAGGGCGGUACGCUGACGGUACCUAACCAGAAAGCCACGGCUAACUACGUGCCAGCAGCCGCGGUAAU